UACAGAGGGUGCAAGCGUUAAUCGGAAUUACUGGGCGUAAAGGGCGCGUAGGUGGGUUAUUAAGUCAGAUGUGAAAGCCCUGGGCUUAACCUGGGAAUGGCAUUUGAUACUGAUAGUCUAGAGUGAAGCAGAGGGUGGCGGAAUUUCCGGUGUAGCGGUGAAAUGCGUAGAUAUCGGAAGGAACACCAGUGGCGAAGGCGGCCACCUGGGCUUUAACUGACACUGAGGCGCGAAAGCGUGGGGAGCGAACAGG
RNAcentral lists this ribosomal RNA (253 nucleotides) under uncultured bacterium. Its description in RNAcentral is "partial 16S ribosomal RNA". It matches the Rfam family "Bacterial small subunit ribosomal RNA", at positions 524 to 776 of the family's 1533-position model. The record is from RNAcentral.